GAUGAACGCUGGCGGCGUGCCUAAUACAUGCAAGUCGAGCGAACGGACGAGAAGCUUGCUUCUCUGAUGUUAGCGGCGGACGGGUGAGUAACACGUGGAUAACCUACCUAUAAGACUGGGAUAACUUCGGGAAACCGGAGCUAAUACCGGAUAAUAUUUUGAACCGCAUGAUUCAAAAGUGAAAGACGGUCUUGCUGUCACUUAUAGAUGGAUCCGCGCUGCAUUAGCUAGUUGGUAAGGUAACGGCUUACCAAGGCAACGAUGCAUAGCCGACCUGAGAGGGUGAUCGGCCACACUGGAACUGAGACACGGUCCAGACUCCUACGGGAGGCAGCAGUAGGGAAUCUUCCGCAAUGGGCGAAAGCCUGACGGAGCAACGCCGCGUGAGUGAUGAAGGCCUUCGGAUCGUAAAACUCUGUUAUUAGGGAAGAACAUAUGUGUAAGUAACUGUGCACAUCUUGACGGUACCUAAUCAGAAAGCCACGGCUAACUACGUG
RNAcentral lists this ribosomal RNA (497 nucleotides) under uncultured bacterium. Its description in RNAcentral is "partial 16S ribosomal RNA". It matches the Rfam family "Bacterial small subunit ribosomal RNA", at positions 28 to 507 of the family's 1533-position model. The record is from RNAcentral.